UACGAAGGGGGCGAGCGUUGUUCGGAAUUACUGGGCGUAAAGGGCGCGCAGGCGGCUCUGAAAGUCAGAUGUGAAAGCCCCGGGCUUAACCUGGGAAUUGCAUUUGAUACUCUGGAGCUUGAGUACGGGAGAGGAGAGUGGAAUUCCCAGUGUAGAGGUGAAAUUCGUAGAUAUUGGGAAGAACACCGGUGGCGAAGGCGGCUCUCUGGACCGUAACUGACGCUGAGGCGCGAAAGCGUGGGGAG
RNAcentral lists this ribosomal RNA (245 nucleotides) under uncultured bacterium. RNAcentral's name for it is "partial 16S ribosomal RNA". It matches the Rfam family "Bacterial small subunit ribosomal RNA", at positions 524 to 768 of the family's 1533-position model. The record is from RNAcentral.